GAGACAGUGGCAGCAGACAGCGAGGAUGGGGGGAAUGGUACAGAUGGCAGCGUAGAUGAUGUCUCAGUAAACAGAAAACAGAGACCGAUCGGUCGCCAGAGUGGAAACAAGCAGGGACACGUGCCUGCACUCUCUGUAUUUGAAAACUCAGAAAGAUGACAUUGAGAAACAGGACAAAGACAUCAACGCACACACACACUUCUAAUCUCUCACACGCAAGCAGGCGUGCCCUUCAAAGCCAAAGGAACUGGAGCAGACGAGACAAAGAUGGACACGGUGGCUGUAAAGACACGAGCGGGCGUGCGAGUGUCUCCUGUGGCUGCAAGAGAAAGUCAUUAGGAGCUUUGAAGAUGAAUGUACAGCAUCAUCGGCGAGGGACUUGUGUGGCUCCGCGAGGACACAAAGAGAGAACCUUGCAUCUCAUCUGGGCAGCCUGGGGAAUUGCAGCACUCCCCGAGCCGCCAUUUUGGAAGCAUCCUGUGGAACAGCGAGUCACCGGAGAGAACUCCUUAGGGGGCGAAGGGGAGAGAGCAGCAGGAAGGGAGAGGGAAAAAAAGGCGAAUGCUGGUGUGUACCCGCAUGAGGACAGCUGCUGAAAUCACUGAGUGGAAAAAAAAGAACAACAAAAUCUGUGGACCAUCCAUGAUCCCAGUUAUUAGACAAUGGAGUGACUCUGGGAUCAGAGGAGGAGAUGUGAUGCUCUGGCUGGAGCUCCACAGGCCACAGAGAUGACACAUGGAUAAACACCAUGCCAGCGACAUGAUGACAUGAUGGGGCCUUAAUGAUAGUUCUUAGCACCUCAUUCUCAUCAGGGCUGUCAAGUCACAAAGGUUGACUUUGACUCCCUGUUGGAGCUCAGUCUGGGGGGAGUUAUUUUUUUCUCCUUAUCUUUCCUCGUGUGGUGCAUUUUUCCAUUGUUAUACCUCUCUGACCUGUCUUCCCCAUGUGAUGUUUUUGUGUAAUGUAUGUAUAGUCAGAGGGUAAGAUGGCGCCGCCAUUGCGUGCAAUAGGUCGGCAGCCUAAUGAAAUUUCCCCUUGUGGGACUAAUACAGGUAUAUCAAAUCAAAUCAAUUCAAAAUCAAAAGUUCAUUUUUUGUUUUUCCAUAAUGCUUCUUCUUCUACAAUAAUUAUAGGAUUUGGAGGUGGUAGUUGUUGUGUUAGUUUUUUUUGCAGCUUUUGUUUAUUAAAUUAUAAUAUAUGAAAUUCUAAUGUAUAGUGUACCUUUGCGAUCUGCAGUGAAAUAAACAAAAUCUUUCCUAAAACUUAAUCUUAAAUGCAUAUUGUGAUUUUUUUUAAGAUAAAUUUUGCAGUUCUUGACACUGUAUUCGGAAGAUUUUCUGCAUGUCUUCUUCUGUAACUUUCACUCCUCUGUCCAGUGAACCACAACCCUCUCACUCUUGACAAUAAAGGUGUAUUUUGCCUCUUU
This is a long non-coding RNA of Astatotilapia calliptera (eastern happy), 1426 nucleotides long. The record is from Ensembl. Lineage: Eukaryota; Metazoa; Chordata; Actinopteri; Cichliformes; Cichlidae.